AUUGAACGCUGGCGGCAGGCCUAACACAUGCAAGUCGAGCGGAUGAAGGGAGCUUGCUCCUGGAUUCAGCGGCGGACGGGUGAGUAAUGCCUAGGAAUCUGCCUGGUAGUGGGGGAUAACGUCCGGAAACGGGCGCUAAUACCGCAUACGUCCUGAGGGAGAAAGUGGGGGAUCUUCGGACCUCACGCUAUCAGAUGAGCCUAGGUCGGAUUAGCUAGUUGGGGGGGUAAAGGCCUACCAAGGCGACGAUCCGGAACUGGUCUGAGAGGAUGAUCAGGCACACUGGAACUGAGACACGGUCCAGACUCCUAGGGGAGGCAGCAGUGGGGAAUAUUGGACAAUGGGCGAAAGCCUGAUCCAGCCAUGCCGCGUGUGUGAAGAAGGUCUUCGGAUUGUAAAGCACUUUAAGUUGGGAGGAAGGGCAGUAAGUUAAUACCUUGCUGUUUUGACGUUACCAACAGAAUAAGCACCGGCUAACUUCGUG
RNAcentral lists this ribosomal RNA (484 nucleotides) under uncultured bacterium. RNAcentral's name for it is "partial 16S ribosomal RNA". It matches the Rfam family "Bacterial small subunit ribosomal RNA", at positions 30 to 507 of the family's 1533-position model. The record is from RNAcentral.